GCACUGCUGAGGAGUCCCAUACUAGGACGAAAUGUCCGUCCAGUGC
This 46-nucleotide non-coding RNA is filed under the name Schistosoma margrebowiei. Lineage: Eukaryota; Metazoa; Platyhelminthes; Trematoda; Strigeidida; Schistosomatidae. The record is from RNAcentral.